RNAcentral lists this ribosomal RNA (502 nucleotides) under uncultured bacterium. RNAcentral's name for it is "partial 16S ribosomal RNA". It matches the Rfam family "Bacterial small subunit ribosomal RNA", at positions 28 to 507 of the family's 1533-position model. The record is from RNAcentral.
GAUUAACGCUGGCGGCGUGCCUAACACAUGCAAGUCGAGCGGCAGCGAGUUUUACACUGAAUUCUGGAAGCUUCUAGUUGAAAGAGAAGAUUUAUUCAAGAAUUUUGUGUAAAAUGUCGGCGAGCGGCGGACGGCUGAGUAACGCGUGGGAACGUACCCCAAAGUGAGGGAUAACGCAUCGAAAGGUGUGCUAAUACCGCAUAUGGUCUUCGGAUUAAAGCCUUCGGGCGCUUUGGGAACGGCCUGCGUAAGAUUAGAUAGUUGGUGGGGUAAUGGCCUACCAAGUCGACGAUCUUUAACUGGUGUGAGAGGAUGAUCAGUCAGACUGGAACUGAGACACGGUCCAGACUCCUACGGGAGGCAGCAGUGAGGAAUCUUCCACAAUGGGCGAAAGCCUGAUGGAGCAACGCCGCGUGCAGGAUGAAGGCCUUCGGGUUGUAAACUGCUUUUAUAAGUGAGGAUUAUGACAGUAACUUAUGAAUAAGGAUCGGCUAACUACGUG